UCGGGAAUUUUGGGCAAUGGGCGAAAGCCUGACCCAGCAACGCCGCGUGAAGGAUGAAGUCUCUCGGGAUGUAAACUUCGUAAGAAUAGGAAGAAUAAAUGACGGUACUAUUUGUAAGGUCCGGCUAACUACGUGCCAGCAGCCGCGGUAAUACGUAGGGACCAAGCGUUGUUCGGAUUUACUGGGCGUAAAGGGCGCGUAGGCGGCGUGGUAAGUCACUUGUGAAAUCUCCGGGCUUAACUCGGAACGGUCAGAUGAUACUGCUUUGCUAGAGUGCAGAAGGGGCAAUCGGAAUUCUUGGUGUAGCGGUGAAAUGCGUAGAUAUCAAGAGGAACACCUGAGGUGAAGACGGGUUGCUGGGCUGACACUGACGCUGAGGCGCGAAAGCCAGGGGAGCAAACGGGAUUAGAUACCCAAGUAGUCCCUGAGCGGGCUGGCAAGGCGCAU
This 447-nucleotide ribosomal RNA is filed under the name uncultured bacterium. RNAcentral's name for it is "bacterial SSU rRNA". It matches the Rfam family "Bacterial small subunit ribosomal RNA", at positions 355 to 825 of the family's 1533-position model. The record is from RNAcentral.